Molecule: ribosomal RNA, 107 nt
Filed under: Gilliamella sp. Choc5-1
Lineage: Bacteria; Pseudomonadati; Pseudomonadota; Gammaproteobacteria; Orbales; Orbaceae
Description: partial 16S ribosomal RNA
Rfam family: Bacterial small subunit ribosomal RNA
Source: RNAcentral
UUAAAUUGAAGAGUUUGAUCAUGGCUCAGAUUGAACGCUGGCGGCAGGCUUAACACAUGCAAGUCGAACGGUAACAUGAGUGCUUGCACUUGAUGACGAGUGGCGGA